GGCCAGCAGCCGCGGUAAGACAGAGGGGGCAAGCGUUGCUCGGAAUCACUGGGCGUAAAGGGCGCGUAGGCGGGAUGGCAAGUCGGUCGUGAAAUCCUUCGGCUCAACCGAAGAACGUCGGCCGAUACUGCUGUUCUUGAGGGAUGCAGAGGAGACUGGAAUUCCCGGUGUAGCGGUGAAAUGUGUAGAGAUCGGGAGGAACACCGGUGGCGAAGGCGGGUCUCUGGGCAUUUCCUGACGCUGAGGCGCGAAAGCGUGGGGAGCAAACGGGAUUAGAUACCCCGGUAGUCCACGCUGUAAACGAUGACGACUAGGUGUGGGGGGGGUUAGUCCCUUCCGUGCCGCAGCUAACGCAUUAAGUCGUCCGCCUGGGGAGUACGGCCGCAAGGUUGAAACUCAAAGGAAUUGACGGGGGCCCGCACAAGC
RNAcentral lists this ribosomal RNA (426 nucleotides) under uncultured bacterium. RNAcentral describes it as "bacterial SSU rRNA". It matches the Rfam family "Bacterial small subunit ribosomal RNA", at positions 506 to 930 of the family's 1533-position model. The record is from RNAcentral.